This 257-nucleotide unclassified non-coding RNA is filed under the name Hevea brasiliensis (rubber tree). Lineage: Eukaryota; Viridiplantae; Streptophyta; Magnoliopsida; Malpighiales; Euphorbiaceae. The record is from RNAcentral.
GCCAAGUCUCAAAUCCUUGUAUGAGUUACAACCAAUCAUUCUUUCAGAGUUUUAACUCAUUUUAUAUGUACAGGAAAUCGGUAGGAUUAGGGUUUUUGUCUGGGGGGUUUUUUCAACCUCAAGACAUAAAGAAAAGAAGACAGUGUUUUUCACACAGCAUUAUGGAAUUACCAUUGCUUUUAUACGCCAAUCAAUUGUUUUAGUACAUCAACUUAGGAAAUGAAGCCAAGUUCAUUUAAGGCCUUCAUAACAGGAAU